This 377-nucleotide unclassified non-coding RNA is filed under the name Hevea brasiliensis (rubber tree). The record is from RNAcentral. Lineage: Eukaryota; Viridiplantae; Streptophyta; Magnoliopsida; Malpighiales; Euphorbiaceae.
AACCAAAAAUCCAAUAAGUGCUAAAAGGGGUCCAGCUGCCUGGACACUGUCUUCAACCCCAAAUGGCCCUCCAGAAACUUCAUAAAAGAUCAAGAAAACAAGAGGCGCUAUUGAAACCUUCUGGAACUUUUCUAACCUAGGAGAAGAUGCUUCUCCUAACACUACAUACUCGGUAUUGUUGGGUUCCGUCAUUAAGCAGAAUCUGAUUAGUUAAGAAACUCCUCUGUUUACUAAGAUUCAACUAUGGACAAUGAUCUUUAAGAAGCAAAAUGUGAUAUGGGAAACGUCCAAACAAUGCAACUUCGAAAUCUUUUGUUGACCCCAGAGCCAGAGGAGCUAUACAGCUCUCACAUAAGAAGAAGGAAGGAGGCGAGAGG